UACGUAGGGGGCGAGCGUUGUCCGGAUUUAUUGGGCGUAAAGAGCGUGUAGGCGGCCAGGUAGGUCCGUUGUGAAAACUCGAGGCUCAAUCUCGAGACGUCGAUGGAAACCAUCUGGCUAGAGUCCGGAAGAGGAGAGUGGAAUUCCUGGUGUAGCGGUGAAAUGCGCAGAUAUCAGGAAGAACACCUAUGGCGAAGGCAGCUCUCUGGGACGGUACUGACGCUGAGACGCGAAAGCGUGGGGAGCGAACAGG
This 253-nucleotide ribosomal RNA is filed under the name uncultured bacterium. RNAcentral's name for it is "partial 16S ribosomal RNA". It matches the Rfam family "Bacterial small subunit ribosomal RNA", at positions 524 to 776 of the family's 1533-position model. The record is from RNAcentral.